RNAcentral lists this small RNA (588 nucleotides) under Pan troglodytes (chimpanzee). RNAcentral's name for it is "retained intron". The record is from RNAcentral. Lineage: Eukaryota; Metazoa; Chordata; Mammalia; Primates; Hominidae.
UUCAAGCAGUUCAAGCACUGUGGCUAUCCCUGGCUACACCUUCACAAGCCCGGGGAUGACCGCCACCCUACCGUCAUCGGUUAUCUCGCAAAGAACUCAACAGACCUCCAGUCAGAUGCCAGCCAGCUCUACGGCCCCUUCCUCCCAGGAGACAGUGCAGCCCACGAGCCCGGCAACGGCAUUGAGAACACCUACCCUGCCAGAGACCAUGAGCUCCAGCCCCACAGCAGCAUCAACUACCCACCGAUACCCCAAAACACCUUCUCCCACUGUGGCUCAUGAGAGUAACUGGGUAACUCCAGCAGGGGUGGGGCAAGUAGGAGAACCCAGACUCGGGUAGAAGAGGCUUUAAGACAAGGUUUUCUGUUCUUUCCUCCAACGCAGGGCCCCUGGCUGGGGCUUUGAGCAGCACUUACCCAUUCCCUCCUCCCUCUCCCUGGUUAGCCUGGUCCUGGCUUGAGCUGCCCUCAAGCCACGCAGCCAGGACAUACCUGGCUCUGGAAUGGGUCCAGCCAUGCCUCCAGCUUGCCAUGAACUCUUUCCUAUCUGGGUCACCCCUUAGUUGGGGGGAAAUGUCAAAGAUUCCAU